UGCGUAGGUGGUUUCUUAAGUCAGAGGUGAAAGGCUACGGCUCAACCGUAGUAAGCCUUUGAAACUGGGAAACUUGAGUGCAGGAGAGGAGAGUGGAAUUCCUAGUGUAGCGGUGAAAUGCGUAGAUAUCAGGAGGAACACCAGUGGCGAAGGCGGCUUGCUGGACGAUGACUGACGUUGAGGCUCGAAAGCGUGGGGAGCAAACA
Molecule: ribosomal RNA, 206 nt
Filed under: uncultured bacterium
Lineage: Bacteria
Description: partial 16S ribosomal RNA
Rfam family: Bacterial small subunit ribosomal RNA
Source: RNAcentral